Ricinus communis (castor bean) is the source of this 3192-nucleotide long non-coding RNA. RefSeq lists it as uncharacterized. The transcript is spliced from 3 exons. The record is from RefSeq and is a predicted model, not a curated record. NCBI's taxonomy places the organism in Eukaryota, Viridiplantae, Streptophyta, Magnoliopsida, Malpighiales, Euphorbiaceae.
UGGAUUGGUCUUAGGCCCGAUUGUUUGGAUUUCAUGAAUAAAACUGACUUAAAACCGGAUCCAACAACUCCAAUUUGGAUUGGACGAUUCCUUAAAUACAACAUUCAAAAGAAGAAACCAAAACAAAACGUUCAAGGAGGUGCAAUCAAUGGAGGAGUCUGUUCGCGUCAAGCACAUCAAACGCAAAAACAUUAGGAAAAGAAGGGUUCAUGAAGAAGAAGACGAAGGCGAGGAUUCAAAAACCGAAUCUUGUUUGAUUUACAAUCAGAAAAGAUCCUAAAAUUUUGACGGAAAUUCAGUUUCAUCAUGAUAGCAGCGCAACGGCAGCUCUAGAAACUGAAAUUUGUAUAAAAAGGUAUAAUAGUGAUUAUAAAGCAAGCGAUAGCCUUCAUGGACCACAAAGGGCUUGUGCUCAUGUUAGGGUAACAUCUAGGGUUGAUUAUCAGCCUGAUAUAUGCAAACUGGUCGUUGUGGGUACAGAGAUGCAUGUAAGUGUAUGCAUGAUCGAGGUGAUCAGAGAUCUUGUUGGCGGAUGGAGAAUGAACGGAAUGAGGAAAAGAAGAUGAGACGGUGAAAUUUGGUUUAAUAGGCAUAUGAAUUAAUCUUUUUUUAUAUGUGAUACAUGCAUCUAUAAUUUUCUGUAGACUUUGUAAGAUUUUUGCUUCUCAUCGGUUCUUAUUUAAGAGGAAGUUUUUUUUUUUUUAUUGAUUCCUUAAUCCGUUUCUGCUAUUAAAUAUUAGUAAAUUCAUACAAUUAUAGAACAGUAGGCAUUUGUUAAGGGUGAGUCUAACUCUGUAGCUGUAGUUGUACAAUUGAAAAAAUAACGAAAUUUUUCUUGCAGCUAGAGAUAUUUGGUCUUUAUUUUGAUGUGUAUGUAGUGUUGAAUAACAGCUACAAAUACAGAUUUAAGAGUUAAAUUUGUUUAUAACAUUUACUUAUGUACAUCAACUCUCUUGAUUCUAGGUCAUAUUUAUACAUUGGUUAGAGACUUCACUUCACACAGUCAUUACUUUCUUGGCCACUAAUGUACUGCUCUCUAAAUUGUUUUCGUUGUUCCAUGAAUGCGGUGACGGUGAAGCGAGCAGAGGCCAGAUCAAACUUCUUUCUUUUCUUGCUUUGAGAACAAGAGCUUUUGUAUUUUGUCUUAGAACACUAUUCACAGCCUUCAAGUAGUUGCUUGAAUCAUGAUCUCUUAAGAUUGUACCUUCUGAACCAUAAGCUGAAGGAUCACUAAGAGUUUCCAAUGGGUGUGGACAGUUGAGGAAUGCAUUUAGUACGCUUGGAGAGUAGCCGUGUUGUUUCUUGUCUAACUCAUAGAGAGCACCACCAGCAGGGAGGAAAGGGUGUGGAGGAGAUGAUUUCUCGUCAGGUUGGAGGAUAAAUAUUUUACCAAGUGGAGUGUACAAGAGUUUCUGAAUAGAAAUACAAGAGAAAGUAAGAAUUUGAACAAGUCUCUGUUUACAGUAUUGAAAUAAUGGAAUGAAGCAUGAUAAAUUUGAUAAUUGGAGCCUCGCAUUGAAUGUCCGUUUCUACGGAUGCUAAGUUUUAAUGACCGAGUAAAUCAAUACUUACAUUCUUUAUUAGACAAGGGUGUGAUCUGAAGGAGCCAUUUAAACGUUUGAGGACUUGUGCAACAUGGUUGGGGUAGUUGCAGGAAAAAGCUCUUGGGACAAUAUCUCUAUGCAUCAUCACACAGUGAACAUGACUGUCAUCCAACCCCAAAUCCUUCAGUAUCUUUUGGCCUCCACAGAACACAAAUGGCGAGCCAAAAGUGACCACUGGUCGAAGAGUACAGGGUUUGACAACCUUCCUAGUCAGUAGCAUCAAGUUGACCAGAAGGGAGAGACUACCGCCAAGGGAAUGGCCUGUAAAUUGAAGCUUUGCACGUUCUCCAUGUUUGUUUAAGUGUUCUACUAUCUCUGGCAUAAACUGCUCAUAUAUUCCUUUUGCUGCUUCAUAAAUUCCUCUGUGAACAAGCACAUCUGUCCCCUGUGAUAACACAAUAAAUACAUAAUAUUUGUUUGUUCUCACGAGCUCUCAUGCUCUCUAGUUUGCCAGACAGAUAUACUCUAGAAGGUCCUAUUUAGGGCUGUCUGAAUUUGCAGUUAGUGCUCACCUCAAAUUUAGUAGGUUCAAAGAAUAGGUUUGCUUGCCAGGACGCCAGGGAGUCGGAUCCCUGCAUUUUGAAAAAUUUAACAUGUUAGGCGCCUCAAAGACUGCUUUCUUUCUUUAAGAUUUUAAAAAUUAUGCCCAAUGUGAACAAUUUUAUUGUAUAUUUGUUUCUAGAGCCUAGAGGAGCCAUUUUCUACAUGCUACAUACUGUCUCAUCUUGCAUAACAUGAGAUGGACAGUGAAUGAAAGAAUUACCUGAAUCACAAAGCAGCGAGUAUAUGUGCUAACAUCGUCACAAAUAAACCAUUCACAAGGUGAGGAAUGAAGUGAUUGAAGGGCUGUUGCUGCCUCCUGUUUUUCCUUCUCCCCUGCUGCCACCACUGCAGUCAUUGUUGAUGCUGCAACCACUGCAGCCACCUCUGAUUUAUAUACUCGGGGUGAGCUCUCUCCCUCCUCAUCUGGUUGAACCCCAUUUCUAUAUGAAUCUGAACAGUCACACUCCUCCUGAGAGCCACAAGAUGAAUAGCCUUUUGCACGUGAUUGGACAUAAGAUGCUGCUGAAGCAGCAAUCCCAUAGACAGAUGAGCGUACUGCAAGCCUCUGCUCAGAGUCCUUGGUUUCCUCCAGAUCGGAUUUGGUAAGAGAAACAACAGGUGGAAAACUACAGAGUUUUGUGCUUUCUUUGGAGUUUGGAUCAUACAAUGAAUGAGAAGAGAGAAGAGAGAAGAGAUUUCUUACACUGACUGAUAAGUAUGUUUUGCAUGUCAUAAUUUAGCAAAUCCAAAAGUAUGCCAAAUAUCUGAAUCUCGGUUAGGCAGUAAUGUGUUACAAUUAGCUAAUCAAUGCUUGAUUUUCAUAUGCAUAUAUAGGCACAAUUUCUAAAGAAAGCGGUUUCCAGAGAAAGGUGAAUUCUCUCUAUAAAUAGCCUGAGAUUUUGACUAUGCAGUCACUGAUUAGAUUUUGUGUGAUUUCAGUAUUUUUGAAUGUAAGAAGAGUAGAUAAUGGGUCUAAUAUUAAGGUAACUCGCACCUGAUACUUAUGAAAAUAAGAGACUGACUUAUAAAAGCUUCACUUGCGGAU